Python bivittatus (Burmese python) is the source of this 283-nucleotide long non-coding RNA. RefSeq lists it as uncharacterized. Lineage: Eukaryota; Metazoa; Chordata; Lepidosauria; Squamata; Pythonidae. The record is from RefSeq and is a predicted model, not a curated record.
UUUGGGUGUCUAAAGACUGCACUUCAACUUUUGGGGAAUGGAGGGCCACAAAGUGGGUGAAGCCACCAUCACAAAUAGCUGAAUUGGGAAAAGGCCAGCCUUCUCAAGUCUAGUGUCUCUCAGAUGUCUUUGUGUACAAGCUUCAGCAUUCGUACCUAGCAUGAACAUUGGAUCCAUCCCAAUUCUACUCCAAAGGAUCCUUCAAACCCCUUUAUAAAAUCUAGACAUGCAGGGAGACAGAUAUUAUGAAAAUAUGUACAUCUCCUUAAGAAAUAUUGUUGCU